Molecule: long non-coding RNA, 209 nt
Filed under: Vigna radiata
Lineage: Eukaryota; Viridiplantae; Streptophyta; Magnoliopsida; Fabales; Fabaceae
Description: long non-coding RNA (VRAD_LNC016788)
Source: RNAcentral
UGGCCCAAAAUUUCUCCAGGUUAAUAAUUUGCCAAAACUGACUUGCUACCCUCUUAUAUGCAAAAAUGCUUAAUUAAACUGAACUCAGAUGCAAAAACCAAAGCUAGGAAUACCUCUACUUGAAUCUAAAGCAAAGAAUUACAUCAACAGUUCUAAUUUACAAAAAUGAAACUGAGAAAUUCAUUAAAAUAGCAAAGGAUGAAUAAGAG